RNAcentral lists this ribosomal RNA (254 nucleotides) under uncultured prokaryote. Its description in RNAcentral is "partial 16S ribosomal RNA". It matches the Rfam family "Bacterial small subunit ribosomal RNA", at positions 524 to 777 of the family's 1533-position model. The record is from RNAcentral.
UACGGAGGAUGCAAGCGUUAUCCGGAUUUAUUGGGUUUAAAGGGUGCGUAGGCGGGAUUAUAAGUCAGUGGUGAAAACCUGCAGCUUAACUGUAGACUUGCCAUUGAUACUGUAGUUCUUGAGUAUGGUCAAGGCAGGCGGAAUGUGUAAUGUAGCGGUGAAAUGCUUAGAUAUUACACAGAACACCAAUUGCGAAGGCAGCUUACUGAGCCGACACUGACGCUGAGGUGCGAAAGCGUGGGUAGCGAACAGGA